This 419-nucleotide ribosomal RNA is filed under the name uncultured bacterium. RNAcentral's name for it is "bacterial SSU rRNA". It matches the Rfam family "Bacterial small subunit ribosomal RNA", at positions 355 to 776 of the family's 1533-position model. The record is from RNAcentral.
UGGGGAAUAUUGGACAAUGGGCGGAAGCCUGAUCCAGCAACGCCGCGUGAGGGAUGACGGCCUUCGGGUUGUAAACCUCUUUCGCCUGUGACGAAGCGAGCCUUUGGGUGAGUGACGGUAGCGGGUAAAGAAGCACCGGCCAACUACGUGCCAGCAGCCGCGGUAAUACGUAGGGUGCGAGCGUUGUCCGGAAUUAUUGGGCGUAAAGGGCUCGUAGGCGGUUUGUCGCGUCGGGAGUGAAAACCAGGUGCUUAACACCUGGCUUGCUUUCGAUACGGGCAGACUAGAGGUAUUCAGGGGAGAACGGAAUUCCUGGUGUAGCGGUGAAAUGCGCAGAUAUCAGGAGGAACACCGGUGGCGAAGGCGGUUCUCUGGGAAUGACCUGACGCUGAGGAGCGAAAGUGUGGGGAGCGAACAGG